RNAcentral lists this ribosomal RNA (373 nucleotides) under uncultured eukaryote. RNAcentral describes it as "SSU rRNA". It matches the Rfam family "Eukaryotic small subunit ribosomal RNA", at positions 587 to 972 of the family's 1831-position model. The record is from RNAcentral.
AGCUCCAAUAGCGUAUAUUAAAGUUGUUGCAGUUAAAAAGCUCGUAGUUGGAUUUCUGGUCGGGUGACCUAACCCUCAAGCUGAGUGCGUAAGGCCGCCCGUCCAUCCUUCUGUUAACUCCUAAGCCUUUUACGGGUUUUUGAGGGCUCAGAUAUUUUACCUUGAGAAAAUUAGAGUGUUUCAGGCAGGCUAGCGCCGGAAUACAUUAGCAUGGAAUAAUAGAAUAGGACUUUUGCCUCUUCUGUUGGUCUGAGGGGUUCAAGUAAUGAUUAAUAGGGAUAGUUGGGGGCAUUAGUACUUAACUGUCAGAGGUGAAAUUCUCGGAUUUGUUAAAGACUAACUUAUGCGAAAGCAUUUGCCAAGGAUGUUUUCA